This 465-nucleotide ribosomal RNA is filed under the name Vreelandella stevensii. RNAcentral's name for it is "partial 16S ribosomal RNA". It matches the Rfam family "Bacterial small subunit ribosomal RNA", at positions 338 to 795 of the family's 1533-position model. Lineage: Bacteria; Pseudomonadati; Pseudomonadota; Gammaproteobacteria; Oceanospirillales; Halomonadaceae. The record is from RNAcentral.
CCUACGGGUGGCUGCAGUGGGGAAUAUUGGACAAUGGGCGAAAGCCUGAUCCAGCCAUGCCGCGUGUGUGAAGAAGGCCUUCGGGUUGUAAAGCACUUUCAGUGGGGAAGAAAGCCUUGGGGCUAAUACCCUCGAGGAAGGACAUCACCCACAGAAGAAGCACCGGCUAACUCCGUGCCAGCAGCCGCGGUAAUACGGAGGGUGCGCGCGUUAAUCGGAAUUACUGGGCGUAAAGCGCGCGUAGGCGGUCUGAUAAGCCGGUUGUGAAAGCCCCGGGCUCAACCUGGGAACGGCAUCCGGAACUGUCAGGCUAGAGUGCAGGAGAGGAAGGUAGAAUUCCCGGUGUAGCGGUGAAAUGCGUAGAGAUCGGGAGGAAUACCAGUGGCGAAGGCGGCCUUCUGGACUGACACUGACGCUGAGGUGCGAAAGCGUGGGUAGCAAACAGGAUUAGAUACCCCGGUAGUC